This 459-nucleotide ribosomal RNA is filed under the name uncultured bacterium. Its description in RNAcentral is "partial 16S ribosomal RNA". It matches the Rfam family "Bacterial small subunit ribosomal RNA", at positions 338 to 795 of the family's 1533-position model. The record is from RNAcentral.
CCUACGGGAGGCAGCAGUGAGGAAUAUUGGUCAAUGGGAGGGAUCCUGAACCAGCCAAGCCGCGUGAGGGAGGAAGGUCCAGUGUGUCGUAAACCUCUUUUGUCAGAGAACAAAACCUGGGACGCGUCCCCGGCUGCGUGUACCUGAAGAAAAAGCAUCGGCUAACUCCGUGCCAGCAGCCGCGGUAAUACGGAGGAUGCGAGCGUUAUCCGGAUUUAUUGGGUUUAAAGGGUGCGCAGGCGGUCCGUUAAGUCAGCGGUAAAAUGCCGGGGCUCAACCCCGGCCCGCCGUUGAAACUGGCAGUCUCGAGUUGGAGAGAAGUACGCGGAAUGCGCGGUGUAGCGGUGAAAUGCAUAGAUAUCGCGCAGAACUCCGAUUGCGAAGGCAGCAUGCCGGCGCCACACUGACGCUGAGGCACGAAAGCGUGGGGAUCGAACAGGAUUAGAUACCCGUGUAGUC